RNAcentral lists this ribosomal RNA (250 nucleotides) under uncultured bacterium. Its description in RNAcentral is "partial 16S ribosomal RNA". It matches the Rfam family "Bacterial small subunit ribosomal RNA", at positions 524 to 776 of the family's 1533-position model. The record is from RNAcentral.
UACGAAGGAUGCGAGCGUUAUCCGGAUUUAUUGGGUUAAAGGGAGCGUAGGCGGUCUUAUAAGUCAGUGGUGAAAUCUCGUUGCUUAACAACGAACGUGCCAUUGAUACUGUAGGACUUGAGUACAGUUGCCGUUGGCGGAAUGUGUCAUGUAGCGGAUGAAUGCAUAGAUAUGACACAGAACACCGAUUGCGAAGGCAGCUGACGAAACUGUAACUGACGCGAGCUCGAAAGCGUGGGGAUCAAACAGG